RNAcentral lists this ribosomal RNA (849 nucleotides) under uncultured bacterium. Its description in RNAcentral is "bacterial SSU rRNA". It matches the Rfam family "Bacterial small subunit ribosomal RNA", at positions 32 to 886 of the family's 1533-position model. The record is from RNAcentral.
GACGCUGGCGGUGCGCCUUAUGCAUGCAAGUCGAGCGAAGCUUUUCAGUAGUUUACUACAGAAAAUGACUGAGCGGCGAACGGGUGAGUAACGCGUGAGCAAUCUACCUUAGUUACUGGGAUAGCCCGAGGAAACUCGGAUUAAUACCGGAUAAUCUUAUUACAUCACAUGAUAUUUUAAGUAAAGGUCAGCCGAACUAAGAUGAGCUCGCGUUCUAUCAGCUUGUUGGUGGGGUAAAAGCCUACCAAGGCUACGACGGAUAGCUGGUCUGAGAGGACGAUCAGCCACACUGGGACUGAGACACGGCCCAGACUCCUACGGGAGGCUGCAGCAGGGAAUAUUGCGCAAUGAGCGAAAGCUUGACGCAGCGACACCGCGUGUGGGAUGACGGUUCUAGGAUUGUAAACCACUUUCAGGAGGGAAGAAAAUGACGGUACCUCCACAAGAAGCCCCGGCCAACUACGUGCCAGCAGCCGCGGUAAUACGUAGGGGGCGAGCGUUGUCCGGAUUUAUUGGGCGUAAAGAGCUCGUAGGCGGUUCAACAAGUCGGUCGUGAAAGUUCAGGGCUUAACCCUGAAAUGUCGAUCGAUACUGUUGUGACUAGGAUAUGGUAGAGGUGAGUGGAAUUCCGAGUGUAGCGGUGAAAUGCGUAGAUAUUCGGAGGAACACCAAUAGCGAAGGCAGCUCACUGGACCACUAUCGACGCUGAGGAGCGAAAGCUAGGGGAGCAAACAGGAUUAGAUACCCUGGUAGUCCUAGCUGUAAACGAUGGAUACUAGAUGUAGGAAUUGGAUUGACGAUUUCUGUAUCGUAGCUAACGCGUUAAGUAUCCCGCCUGGGGAGUACGGU